UAUGAUUUUAUUUUUUAAAAAAUCAUAACUAUUCUUUCAUAUGAAAUACUUGGAAGUCAAAUUCAAAAUCAUAAAGCUAAUGUAAGACUUAAUUUUUAUAUCCAUGUGAAAACUGUUUAUUUUUGUUCCCAUGACAGAAAUGGUAAGUUGCUUAUCCAUAUUUUUCAAUUCAGUAAUUUAUGUUGCUCUGAGGGCUUGUUUAAAAAUAAAUAAUACAGCCAGGUGUGGUGGCACAUGCCUGCAAUACCAGCUACUUGGGAGGCUGAGGAUUGCAAGUUUGAGGCCAGCCUGUCUCAAAAAGUUUAAAAAAGGGCUGAGGAUGUAACUCAAUGGUAGAGUACCCUGGGUUCAAUCCCCAGUACGUACAUACAUAAAAUAAAUCACAUAAAUAUUCUAGUUUUAAAAUUAGAAUGGUAGGUUACAACGCCAGCACUACACAGGUUUGUAGUAAGUUUGGAAAUCUCUUGUUUUCUUUGAUUUCCAUGUGAAUUUUAGAAUUGGCACAUCUUUUUCUCUUAAUAAAAAGUAGGUGAAAUUUUGAUAAUUGCAUCUGUUGACCAUUUAGGGGAGUUUUAUUGUCUGUUUUGUAGUUUUCAGUGGCAAAAAAAAAAAAAAAAAAGCAAAAAACGUUUCUUUGGUUCAAUUUAUUCCACUGCUGGAUUGAACCCAGCUCUGCCAUUGAGCUACAUGCUGCUGAGAUUGCAGGCAUGUGUUGCCACACCUGGCAAAUACAACUGAUAUUUUAAUAUAAAUCUGUAUUGUAAUCUUGCUGAACAUACUUAUUUAUGUAUAUAAGAUCAUGUCAUCUGCAAUGAAAUAGUUUUACUUUUUUCUUUGCAUUCUGGAUACCUCUUAUUUGUGUCUCUUAUUUAAUAGCUCCAGGUACUGAGGAUUGAACUCAGGGUGCUUUACCAGUGAGCUACAUCCCCAGCUCACACACACACCUUUUUGAGUCUCACAAGUUGCUGAGGCUGGCCUUGAACUUGCAAUCCUCCUGCAUCAGCCUCUGGAAUCACUGGGAUUACAGAUGUGAGCCAUCACGCCUGGCUAACAAUUUUUUUUAAAUAUUUUUUUUUAGUUGUAGAUGGACACAAUAUCUUUAUUUUUAUUUGUUUAUUUUUAUGUGGUGCUGGGGAUUGAACCCAGGGCCUCAAGUGUGCGAGGCAACCACUCUACCACUGAGCUACAAACCCAGCCCUAACAAUGUGUUUUAAUGAACAGAUGGAAAGCUUUUGUUGUGGCUUUGAGUUGUUAUUCCUAUCUACGUCAGAAAAUACAUUUUGUUCAGCUGAAUUUCUAAAUCGCUUGAAGAUACUCAUCAAGCUGAAGCCAUAAAACUGCUUCUUGAUAGUUUUUGGACAGUUCGAUUCAUGUACAUUUAAUGGUUUCUAAGCCUAUUAAGCUGAUUGUCUUCAUUAACCUAAGUUAAUUUGAGUCUGUGUUCACUUGUCUAAAGAUACAGAGACACAGAGAUAUAAGAGACAUAAGAUGAUUUGUUUUUAUUGGUUGGUUUACUUUAAUGCUUCUUUAUCACCUGUACUUGGGCUUCUCCAACACGCAUUCCUGGAGUACUAGGAGCGUACCAGAGGGUGUGGAGCUAAGGUGCCUCUCUCUCUGGGAGGUAAGUGGUUAGAGCUGUUUCUGUGUUCUCCUCUGCCUAUCUUGGGGUGCCCUACAUAGAAAGGUUUGAGAAGCAGGGAGCUUGUCAGAGCUUCCUGGAUUGGGUUUCCUGGUAGUGUUGGAGUCUGCAUCUUUCCACAGUACCUACAUGAAAGUCACAUGUCACUGAAUUGCUACCGUGGAGAGGAAAGUCUCAAAAGCAGGACUUGGUAGUUCACCUGCAGCAUUGCCCUAGAAAACAAUUUUUUAAAAAAAAUCUUUUGUGUGCACUUAGCCGGAGCCUUGUCUAUCAAAUGUCACUGUUGUGCUGGGCUCUAGGGGAUACGUAGGGAUGACCAUCAGCAGGCUUUACCUGGCAAAUACCCUCUGAGAGAUGCUUGUAUGUGGAAAAAACCUUUCUGUGUUCAAGACCAGUUCUUUGGUUUAACCUAGGCUUUUUUUUUUUCACUUUUUUUAAAUUUUUAGUUGUAGUUGGACACAACACCUUUAUUUCACUCAUUUAUUUUUAUGUGGUGCUGAGGAUCGAACCCAGGGUCGAUUGCUCUACCACUGAGCCACAACCCUAGCCCUAACCUAGGCUUCUUUAUGCAAAAACUUAGCCCAGAUUUUUGAAAUGUAAUUCAUCAUCAUAAAUAUGAUCAUUUUGAAAUUUCUUUGGUAGAUUAUGACAAUAGAAUAAGAUCAGUGUUAUCCGUAAGUAACACAUCCCCACAUGGCUAGAAGAUCUCUGCCGUGCAAGUGGUGUAAGGAUAGU
Molecule: long non-coding RNA, 2374 nt
Filed under: Marmota monax (woodchuck)
Lineage: Eukaryota; Metazoa; Chordata; Mammalia; Rodentia; Sciuridae
Source: RNAcentral